CCUCCUUCGGGAGGGGAUUAGUGGCGAACGGGUGAGUAACACGUGGGCAAUCUGCCCUUCACUCUGGGACAAGCCCUGGAAACGGGGUCUAAUACCGGAUAACACUGCGGAUCGCAUGGUCUGCGGUUAAAAGCUCCGGCGGUGAAGGAUGAGCCCGCGGCCUAUCAGCUAGUUGGUGGGGUAAUGGCCUACCAAGGCGACGACGGGUAGCCGGCCUGAGAGGGCGACCGGCCACACUGGGACUGAGACACGGCCCAGACUCCUACGGGAGGCAGCAGUGGGGAAUAUUGCACAAUGGGCGAAAGCCUGAUGCAGCGACGCCGCGUGAGGGAUGACGGCCUUCGGGUUGUAAACCUCUUUCAGCAGGGAAGAAGCGAAAGUGACGGUACCUGCAGAAGAAGCGCCGGCUAACUACGUGCCAGCAGCCGCGGUAAUACGUAGGGCGCAAGCGUUGUCCGGA
RNAcentral lists this ribosomal RNA (460 nucleotides) under Streptomyces sp. SCAU5218. RNAcentral's name for it is "bacterial SSU rRNA". It matches the Rfam family "Bacterial small subunit ribosomal RNA", at positions 74 to 549 of the family's 1533-position model. The record is from RNAcentral. Lineage: Bacteria; Bacillati; Actinomycetota; Actinomycetes; Kitasatosporales; Streptomycetaceae.